This 112-nucleotide ribosomal RNA is filed under the name Caerostris darwini. The record is from RNAcentral. Lineage: Eukaryota; Metazoa; Arthropoda; Arachnida; Araneae; Araneidae.
AACGGCCGUACCAAGCUGAAUAUACCGGUUCUCGUUAGAUCACCGAAGUCAAGCAUCAUUGGGCGCGGUCAGUACUUGGAUGGGUGACCACCUGGGAACACUGCGUGCCGUU